This 107-nucleotide small nuclear RNA is filed under the name Salvator merianae (Argentine black and white tegu). Lineage: Eukaryota; Metazoa; Chordata; Lepidosauria; Squamata; Teiidae. The record is from RNAcentral.
GUGCUCACUUUGGGAGAACCUAUAUUAAAACUGGAAUGAUACAGAGACGAUCAGCAUGGCCCCUGUGCAAGGGUGACAUGCAAAUUCAUGAAGCAUUCCUUUUUUAA